AGCUCCAUGGUGUAGUUGGCAGCAUGCGUGAUUUUGGUUCACGUGACCCGAGUUCGAUUCUCGGUGGGGCUA
Molecule: transfer RNA, 72 nt
Organism: Acanthamoeba castellanii str. Neff
Lineage: Eukaryota; Discosea; Longamoebia; Acanthamoebidae
Rfam family: tRNA
About the family: Transfer RNA (tRNA) molecules are approximately 80 nucleotides in length.
Source: Rfam